GAUGAAGAACGUAGUGAAAUGCGAAAAGUAAUGUGAAUUGCAGAAUUCAGUGAAUCAUCGAAUCUUUGAACGCACAUUGCGCCCGCCAGUAUUCUGGCGGGCAUGCCUGUCUGAGCGUCAUUUCAACCCUCACGCCCCUAGGGCGUGGUGUUGGGGAUCGGCCAAGGCCCGCAAGGGACGGCCGGCCCCUAAAUCUAGUGGCGGACCCAUCGUGGCCUCCCCUGCGAAGUAGUAAUAUAUUCCGCAUCGGAUAGCGAUGAGCCCCUGCCGUUAAACCCCCAACUCUUUCAAGGUUGACCUCAGACCAGGUAGGAAUACCCGCUGAACUUAAGCAUAUCAAUAAGCGGAGGA
Molecule: unclassified non-coding RNA, 351 nt
Filed under: soil metagenome
Description: partial contains 5.8S ribosomal RNA, internal transcribed spacer 2, and large subunit ribosomal RNA
Rfam family: 5.8S ribosomal RNA (bases 1-120)
Source: RNAcentral